AUUGAACGCUGGCGGCAUGCCUAACACAUGCAAGUCGAACGGCAGCGCGGGGGCAACCCUGGCGGCGAGUGGCGGACGGGUGAGGAAUGCAUAGGAAUCUGCCCGGCUGUGGGGUAUAACGUAGGGAAACUUACGCUAAUACCGCAUACGACCUUCGGGUGAAAGUGGGGGACCUUCGGGCCUCACGCGAUCGGAUGAGUCUAUGCCCGAUUAGCUAGUUGGCGGGGUAAGAGCGCACCAAGGCGACGAUCGGUAGCUGGUCUGAGAGGAUGAUCAGCCACACUGGAACUGAGACACGGCCCAGACUCCUACGGGAGGCAGCAGUGGGGAAUAUUGGACAAUGGGCGCAAGCCUGAUCCAGCAAUGCCGCGUGUGUGAAGAAGGCCUUCGGGUUGUAAAGCACUUUUGUUCGGGAAGAAAUCCGUGUGGUUAAUACCCGUACGGGAUGACGGUACCGAAAGAAUAAGCACCGGCUAACUUCGUG
This 484-nucleotide ribosomal RNA is filed under the name uncultured bacterium. RNAcentral's name for it is "partial 16S ribosomal RNA". It matches the Rfam family "Bacterial small subunit ribosomal RNA", at positions 30 to 507 of the family's 1533-position model. The record is from RNAcentral.